AUAGUACUCCCUCCGUCUCAAAAUUGUUGUCUUAAAUUUAUAUAAAUAUGAAUGUAUCUAGUCAUAUUUUAGUAUUUAGAUACAUCCACUUCUAGAUAAAUUUAAGACAAGAAUUUUGGGACGGAGGAAGUAGGAC
This is a non-coding RNA of Hordeum vulgare subsp. vulgare (domesticated barley), 136 nucleotides long. The record is from Rfam. Lineage: Eukaryota; Viridiplantae; Streptophyta; Magnoliopsida; Poales; Poaceae.